Molecule: long non-coding RNA, 1461 nt
Filed under: Anolis carolinensis (green anole)
Lineage: Eukaryota; Metazoa; Chordata; Lepidosauria; Squamata; Anolidae
Description: lncRNA (ENSACAG00000038221.1)
Source: RNAcentral
AUGCUUGUGGAUUUCAAUGGCUUCUCUGUGAAGCCAUUUCAAUGGCUUCACAGCCUGAAAGACAUACAACAACCCUGUGAUCCCGGCCAUGAAAGCCUUCGACAAUACAAUGUUGUCUACAAAGUAGACAGGGACACCAUUAGGCCUUCUCUUUCUUUCUGCCACUCCUCUGUGACUCUUCUUUUCUCCUCCCCUCUCUUUUUUUCCUUUCCAUAAUAGUAAUAAUAGUAACUUUAUUCUUGUAUCCCACCACCAUCUCCCUGAAGGCUUACACACGGCACCAAGUGCCAAAAACAGAAUAUAAAAUAAAACACCAUUUAAAAAUACAGUUGAAAAAACAUAUAGACAUAUUACAUGACAACUUAAAACUCAGUUUAAACAGCGCUCAUCAACCAGUGUCGGUAAGCUACCGUAAAUGUGACCAGGCUGUAAAUAAUUGGGAUAAGUCCAAAGCUGUAACAAUGGGAAAAGGGACAUGGGAAAAGUGUCUCCCUCUUUUUUAUACCACCUCCUUUGUGUCUCUAUGCUAUUCCUUUGAACCUGGGUCUCCUAAUCAAUAGUCACAUCACUAGACCAUACUCAUCCUAAUAGUUUGUUAUUGUGUGCCUUCAAGUCAUUUCCAACCCUAGGGCAAACCCAUCACGGGGGUUUCUUGGCAAGAUGUGUUCAUGGUUUUGCCUUUCCCUUCCUCUAAGGCAGUGGUUCUCAACCUGGGGUCCCCAUAUGUUUUUGGCAUACAACUCCCAGAAAUCCCAGCCAGUUUAUCAGAUGUUAGGAUUUCUGGGAGUUGAAGGCCAAAAACAUCUGGGGACCCCAAAUUAAGAACCACUGCUCUAAGGCUGUGACCUACCUAAGAUCAUCCACAGUUGUACAGGGAUUCGAACACUGGGGACAGUCAUAAUUCAGUGCUUAAACCACUACACCAGGCUGGAUCAAGUAGUGUUUCUAGCUCUGUGUAAUGUGCAAAAUGGUCCUCAUUUCUUUAAAAUGGCUCUCCUCUUAUCCGACGUCUCCUCCUUGCCGUAGCUGGACUGGAGCCUCCGUGUAUCCAUCCUUUUGUGUCAGUGGAUACGCAGCUGCUGACUCAUUGUCCCCGACUCAUUGUCUCAUUGACCCCGAGUCCCCGUAGCCGCCCCGAGUCCCCGUUGGGGAGAUGGUGGCGGGGUAUAAAUAAAGUUUUAUUAUUAUUAUUAUUAUUGUGUGGCUGGGGGAAAAUGAUUCAGGUGGUGAUGGAGAAGCAAAAGCCUGGGAAUGUUGAUUGUAACCUCUUCAGAUGAGAGAGAAAGAAGCAAGCCAGGGAUUCGGGAAAGAGCAUUACAAUGAUGCAGCUGAUUAGCAGGCUGUUCCAUGUCCUUCUUGCCUCAAGUGCUGUAACCACGGAAAUGUAGGUCUUUGCUGAUUUCUAAAAGCCAGAGUCAUUCUUCCUUCUCCCAUCCGCCCCCACUCCAUCCCCGAUUCGCA